AAACACCGGCCCUUUGAACCUUCUAUUUUAUUUAUUUUAUCAUUCAUUCAUUUCAUUCUUGGACAAACACUGGUUCUUUGAACCUUCACUUUUAUUUAUUUAUUCAUGCAUGCAUGCAUACACCCCUGUAGUGUGGCAUGUCGCUGGAAUAGUGUUUAUCAACUCUGGAUUGGGUCUGGAAAUCCAUUAAGUGAAGGGUCCCAGCGAGUGAUUUUUAACCCAACAGGAUAAAAUUCAAACAUCGGAGGGUAUUGCGCGGGAUACGACGGACUUAGCCUCAGGGUCCUUUCGUUUCCCUGUAUUUUACUCCGUGGCACAGAGUUGUGUGACCGUAUCGCAGCAUUUGGGUCGCUGUGUAACGCGUGUUUUUUUUUCCUGGGGUCUCCGGAUUUCGGUCUGUGUGCCGGGGUGAGAGUGGACUCCGACUCUAUCUCCAUUGUUUAAGCAGCAACGAGAGGCUAGUUAUGUUUGAUUGUCCAAGACUGUUUCCUCAUCAGCAGACGAGAGAUACCAUAAAAUUUAUUUCAAAAGGUUUAGAAAAUUAAAAGAGAGAUGAAUGGAAAGCAUCCGUCGUACUUAAAUGUUGACUAGUUAAAUGUUAAGUGGUAUUAAUAUUGACCGUAAAGGGAGCUGACAUCGCCCUCAGGACUGCAGAACAGGGCACCUGGGGGGCUCAGCAGUUGAGCACCUGCAUUCAGCCCAGGGCCUGAUCCUGGAGUCCCGGGAUCGAGUCCCACGUCGGGCUCCCUGCAUGGAGCCUGCUUCUCCCUCUGCCUGUGUCUCUCUGCCUGUGUCUCUCUCUGUCUUUCAUGAAUAAAUAAGUAAAACCUUUAAAAAAAAUAACGAAAAGUGCAGAUCAGAUCCUGGGCGUGUAGAGCAUGUUUGCGUGUCGCGAAGCAGAAGAGGACGGCUGUGUUCUUACAUUGUGUUCCUUUCGUAGUUGCACACGAGUGAGUCAACGACGGUUACGAUGGGGUCGUCUUAAUCUUCAGCUCAGUGGACUGAAACAGAGCUCCCUCGAUGACUUCCUCGCCACUGCAGAACUUGCUGGAACAGAAUUUGUAGCUGAUCAAUGAUGGAUUUUGAGGAGGAAUGACCAGUUACUUCAGCCCAGCAGGAGAAGCAAACCAGAUUGGAAUAACACCAGUAGAAGAAUGGCAAAGAAUCAGAACAAGGUUAAUAGGGAGAUAGAAUAACGAGACGUCCUAGAAGGGGGCGGGGGAGUGGGGAGUGGGAGAGCCAUCACUGAAGGAGAGAGAAAAGGUCAUAGAAAAAGGUAAGGAGGUAGAGUUAUGACCAUGCUGUAUUCUUUUGAGAUGUUUGUGGCAGGGAGAGGCU
This 1338-nucleotide long non-coding RNA is filed under the name Canis lupus familiaris (dog). RNAcentral's name for it is "lncRNA (ENSCAFG00030024475.1)". The record is from RNAcentral. Lineage: Eukaryota; Metazoa; Chordata; Mammalia; Carnivora; Canidae.